RNAcentral lists this ribosomal RNA (253 nucleotides) under uncultured bacterium. RNAcentral describes it as "partial 16S ribosomal RNA". It matches the Rfam family "Bacterial small subunit ribosomal RNA", at positions 524 to 776 of the family's 1533-position model. The record is from RNAcentral.
GACGUAGGGCGCGAGCGUUGUCCGGAUUUAUUGGGCGUAAAGAGCUCGUAGGCGGCUUGUCGCGUCGUCCGUGAAAACCUGCAGCUCAACUGCAGGCUUGCGGUCGAUACGGGCAGGCUAGAGUUCGGUAGGGGAGACUGGAAUUCCUGGUGUAGCGGUGAAAUGCGUAGAUAUCAGGAGGAACACCGGUGGCGAAGGCGCUCAUCUGGCCCAAUACUGACGCUGAGGCGCGAAAGCUAGGGGAGCAAACGGG